ACGAACGCUGGCGGCGUGCCUAACACAUGCAAGUCAACUUGACGGAAGGAGCAAUCUGACCGUAGAGUGGCGCAAGGGUGCGUAACGCGUAAGUAACUUGCCCCAAGGUAAGGAAUAACGUCGAGAAAUCGGCGCUAAUACCUCAUAAUGCAGCGGAUCCGCAUGGAUAUGUUGUUAAAGGUUUACCGCCUUGGGAUAGGCUUGCGUCUGAUUAGCUAGUUGGUGUGGUAACGGCACACCAAGGCUACGAUCAGUAACUGGUCUGAGAGGAUGAUCAGUCACACUGGAACUGAGACACGGUCCAGACUCCUACGGGAGGCAGCAGUGAGGAAUGUUGGGCAAUGCUCGAAAGAGUGACCCAGCAACGCCGCGUGGAGGAUGAAGGUAUUCUAUAUCGUAAACUCCUGUGAGAGCAGACGAAAGACAGAUUAUUAAUCUGGAUGACUGUAUGCUCAGAGGAAGCCCCGGCUAACUACGUG
Molecule: ribosomal RNA, 479 nt
Filed under: uncultured bacterium
Lineage: Bacteria
Description: bacterial SSU rRNA
Rfam family: Bacterial small subunit ribosomal RNA
Source: RNAcentral